GAUAGCAGGCCGCGACCGAGUUCCGGCCUCGCCGGAUUGAAAGGGAACACGGGGGACGGGCGCCUGCCCGCAGCCGUGGCUGCCCCCGCAACUGUGCGCGGAUGGCGGCGCCGACACGCCACUGGGGCCUCGCCCCCCGGGAAGGCCGGCCGCCGCGAUGAUCCGCAAGCCAGGAGACCUGCUCGGUCACCACCCUUUUG
RNAcentral lists this non-coding RNA (200 nucleotides) under Paracoccus sp. (in: a-proteobacteria). Lineage: Bacteria; Pseudomonadati; Pseudomonadota; Alphaproteobacteria; Rhodobacterales; Paracoccaceae. RNAcentral also lists the same sequence under 1 other name. The record is from RNAcentral.